Molecule: ribosomal RNA, 468 nt
Filed under: uncultured bacterium
Lineage: Bacteria
Description: partial 16S ribosomal RNA
Rfam family: Bacterial small subunit ribosomal RNA
Source: RNAcentral
GACGAACGCUGGCGGCGUGCUUAACACAUGCCAGUCGAACGGAAAGGCCCUGCUUUUGUGGGGUGCUCGAGUGGCGAACGGGUGAGUAACACGUGAGUAACCUGCCCUUGACUUUGGGAUAACUUCAGGAAACUGGGGCUAAUACCGGAUAGGAGCUCCUGCUGCAUGGUGGGGGUUGGAAAGUUUCGGCGGUUGGGGAUGGACUCGCGGCUUAUCAGCUUGUUGGUGGGGUAGUGGCUUACCAAGGCUUUGACGGGUAGCCGGCCUGAGAGGGUGAGCGGCCACAUUGGGACUGAGAUACGGCCCAGACUCCUACGGGAGGCAGCAGUGGGGAAUAUUGCACAAUGGGCGGAAGCCUGAUGCAGCAACGCCGCGUGCGGGAUGACGGCCUUCGGGUUGUAAACCGCUUUCGCCUGUGACGAAGCGUGAGUGGCGGUAAUGGGUAAAGAAGCACCGGCUAACUACGUG